UUAAUGUUCCUUCAUAACAAGCUCAGACUGAACAGGGGCAGUACAACAAAGGAAUUUGAUGCUUUCCUCCCGCGGGGUCGCAGCAGCGAUCAAAAUGACCCCCGCGCUGGCAGGCCAAGACACGACGUGCGCAUCUCGCCCAGCCCCACGGAAGCAACAGGUAACAUACUCAGAGUGAAUAGAAGCAAUUGAGUGCGCGGCGGCAUACUCAUACAUGGUAAUGAUCCUUCCGCAGGUUCACCUACGGAAA
Molecule: unclassified non-coding RNA, 250 nt
Filed under: uncultured fungus
Lineage: Eukaryota; Fungi
Description: sequence contains ITS1
Source: RNAcentral